RNAcentral lists this ribosomal RNA (253 nucleotides) under uncultured bacterium. RNAcentral describes it as "partial 16S ribosomal RNA". It matches the Rfam family "Bacterial small subunit ribosomal RNA", at positions 524 to 776 of the family's 1533-position model. The record is from RNAcentral.
UACGUAGGGUGCGAGCGUUGCCCGGAUUUAUUGGGCGUAAAGGGCGCGCAGGCGGCUACGCACGUCCGUUGUGAAAUCGCUCGGCUCAACUGGGCGGGGGCAGCGGAUACGGCGUAGCUGGAGCAAGCUAGGGGGCAAUGGAAUUCCCGGUGUAGAGGUGAAAUUCGUAGAUAUUGGGAAGAACACCGGUGGCGAAGGCGGCGACCUGGUCCGAUACUGACGCUGAGGCGCGAAAGCGUGGGGAGCAAACAGG